GUGAAUCCCUUGGCUCAACCAAGGAAGGGCAUUUGAAACUGUCUGGCUUGAGUACGGGAGGGGGAAGUGGAAUUCCCGGUGUAGAGGUGAAAUUCGUAGAUAUCGGGAGGAACACCGGUGGCGAAGGCGACCAUCUGGACGGAUACUGACGCUGAGACGCGAAAGCGUGGGUAGCAAACAGGAUUAGAUACCCUGGUAGUCCACGCUGUAAACGAUGAGAACUAGGUGUCGCGGGUAUUGACCCCUGCAGUGCCAAGGGCGAAUUCCACAGUGGAU
This 276-nucleotide ribosomal RNA is filed under the name uncultured bacterium. RNAcentral's name for it is "partial 16S ribosomal RNA". It matches the Rfam family "Bacterial small subunit ribosomal RNA", at positions 594 to 867 of the family's 1533-position model. The record is from RNAcentral.